GACGAAGGGGGCUAGCGUUGCUCGGAAUUACUGGGCGUAAAGCGCGUGUAGGCGGUUGCCAUAGUCAGGUGUGAAAGCCUUGAGCUUAACUCAAGAAAUGCACUUGAUACUGGGCGACUAGAGGACCGGAGAGGAUAGUGGAAUUCCCAGUGUAGUGGUGAAAUACGUAGAGAUCGGGAAGAAUACCCGUGGCGAAGGCGGCCAGCUGGGCCAGGUCCGACACUGAGGCGCGAAAGCGUGGGGAGCAAACAGG
RNAcentral lists this ribosomal RNA (253 nucleotides) under uncultured bacterium. RNAcentral's name for it is "partial 16S ribosomal RNA". It matches the Rfam family "Bacterial small subunit ribosomal RNA", at positions 524 to 776 of the family's 1533-position model. The record is from RNAcentral.